RNAcentral lists this ribosomal RNA (403 nucleotides) under uncultured bacterium. Its description in RNAcentral is "partial 16S ribosomal RNA". It matches the Rfam family "Bacterial small subunit ribosomal RNA", at positions 28 to 526 of the family's 1533-position model. The record is from RNAcentral.
GACGAACGCUGGCGGCGUGCCUAAUACAUGCAAGUCGAACGCAGUGGGGACGGGUGAGUAACACGUGGGUAACCUCCCAUCAGAGGGGAUAACACUUGGAAACAGGUGCUAAAACGAUACUGAUGGAUGAACCCGCGGGGCAUUAGCUAGUUGGUGAGGUAACGGCUCACCAAGGCCACGAUGCAUAGCCGGCCUGGGAGGGUGGUCGGCCACACUGGGACUGAGACACGGCCCAGACUCCUACGGGAGGCAGCAGGAGGGAAUAUUCGGCAAUGGACGAAAGUCUGACCGAGCAACGCCGCGUGAGUGAAGAAGGUUUGCGGAUCGUAAAGCUCUGUUGUUAGAGAAGCGGUAUCUAACCGGAAAGCCACGGCUAACUGCGUGCCAGCAGCCGCGGUAAUUC